GUCUCCAAGAGCUCCAAAUGUAGCUUCUCUAGCUCGUCCACCACAAGCACCACCAAAACACCAAUGGCAGCCCCAAAUGCUCCUAUGAUAGCUUGCCAACCACUUGAUUGAUAGCGCUUUUGCUUUUAGUGAAGGUAUAAAGGAUGUAUGGGAGCUAGAACACUUUCUAGCACUUUUAAUUGAAGAGAAAACUAAGCUUUUCUCUAGGAUUAAUGGAAGAAAAACAAGAAGGGGGAGAGAGGGAAG
Molecule: unclassified non-coding RNA, 246 nt
Filed under: Hevea brasiliensis (rubber tree)
Lineage: Eukaryota; Viridiplantae; Streptophyta; Magnoliopsida; Malpighiales; Euphorbiaceae
Source: RNAcentral